UACUAAAGUUGUUGCGGUUAAAAAGCUCGUAGUUGAAAUUGUGUCCCGCGGCGUCGGUCUACCGAUUGAGGUACGACAGGCGCGUCUGCGGGGCUUCUCGCCGGUGCGUGUUCACCGUCGGCCAUCAGGGCUGCGCGUCGCUUUGCGGCGUCGCGUUAGUCCGGUCGACGGGCCCUCGCGGCUGUUUACUUUGAACAAAUUAGAGUGCUCAAAGCGGGCUUACAUUUGCCUGAAUAUUGUGCGCAUGGAAUAAUAGAAUAGGACCUCGGUUCUGUUUUGUUGGCUUUCUGAUACCAGAGGUACUGAUUAAUAGGGACAACUGGGGGCAUUCGUAUUGCGAGUUAGAGGUGAAAUUCUUGGAUCGUCGCAAGACGGACUAAAGCGAAAGCAUUUGCCAAAGGUGUUUUCAUUAAUCAAGAACGAAAGUUAGAGGUUCGAAGGCGAUUAGAUACCGCUGUAGUUCUAACCAUAAAUGAUGCCAGCCAGCGAUCCGCCGAAGUUUCAUAAAUUUGACCCGGUGGGCAGCUCCCGGGAAACCAAAGCUUUC
RNAcentral lists this ribosomal RNA (547 nucleotides) under Paduniella mahanawana. RNAcentral's name for it is "bacterial SSU rRNA". It matches the Rfam family "Eukaryotic small subunit ribosomal RNA", at positions 602 to 1108 of the family's 1831-position model. Lineage: Eukaryota; Metazoa; Arthropoda; Insecta; Trichoptera; Psychomyiidae. The record is from RNAcentral.